This 247-nucleotide unclassified non-coding RNA is filed under the name Hevea brasiliensis (rubber tree). The record is from RNAcentral. Lineage: Eukaryota; Viridiplantae; Streptophyta; Magnoliopsida; Malpighiales; Euphorbiaceae.
GUCCGAUUCAGUUUUGGUAUGGUUUUAGUUCGAUUCUUAGUGAAGAGCUAAAAUCAAAUCAAAAUAACUUUAAUUCAGCAUAAUUUUUAUAGGUUCGAUACGAUUUUUCGAUUUAGUUGGAGACCUUCGAGAAUAGUGCACAACCCCAAUCAUUAAUAUGAUAUAACUGUUAUUCUGAUGUGAUAAACAAAAGUGUGUUAUAGCUUCUAAAUGAAUGAAUCGAGGAUAUAAUAGUAAUUUUAACUUU